AGCAGCCGCGGUAAUUCCAGCUCCAAUAGCGUAUAUUAAAGUUGUUGCAGUUAAAAAGCUCGUAGUUGAAUUUCGGGGUCAGUGAGUUGGUCGUGCCACUGGUAUGCACUGGCUUUACUGAUUCCUCCUUCUUGAAGAACUGUAAUGCUAUUAAUUUAGUGUUGCAGGGAAACAGGACUGUUACUUUGAAAAAUUAGAGUGUUUAAAGCAGGCUAACGCUUGAAUACAUUAGCAUGGAAUAAUGAAAUAGGACGUUUGAUCCUAUUUUGUUGGUUUCUAGGAUUGACGUAAUGAUUAAUAGGGAUAGUUGGGGGCAUUAGUAUUCAAUUGUCAGAGGUGAAAUUCUUGGAUUAUUGAAGACUGACUACUG
Molecule: ribosomal RNA, 370 nt
Filed under: uncultured Glomeromycotina
Lineage: Eukaryota; Fungi; Glomeromycota
Description: SSU rRNA
Rfam family: Eukaryotic small subunit ribosomal RNA
Source: RNAcentral